RNAcentral lists this unclassified non-coding RNA (807 nucleotides) under Actinia tenebrosa (Australian red waratah sea anemone). RNAcentral's name for it is "protein prenyltransferase alpha subunit repeat- containing protein 1-like, transcript variant X1". The record is from RNAcentral. Lineage: Eukaryota; Metazoa; Cnidaria; Anthozoa; Actiniaria; Actiniidae.
CAUGGCGAAAGGAUGUGGCGAUUUUGUCCACGAAGGGGAAAAAUAUUUCAAUCUGUUGAAUCAGAUGUUUGUACAAGAUCCAGAAAUUGAAGAAGUAGAUAUCAUAUUCUGCCCUCAAUGUAAAGUAAAUCAAGAAGAGAAAACCAUUUGUGCCAUGAUCAAUGAGAAGCAUAUUCUAGGAAUACGAUCAUGGUGUGUGCAACCAUUGUACAUGUAUGCAUAUAAUAAAUUAUUAAGGGCAAGAAAACAUAAGGGCAUUACCUGUUAUAAUAGUUUAUCUGCUACCGAUAUUCUACAGCUAUCAAGAGCAGUAUUGUUGCUUAGUGCUGAAUGCUAUACAGUAUGGAAUAUGAGAAAGGAGCUGGUAAUGACAAGUGUACUGAACAUAGAUGACGAUCUUCAGUUAUCAUCUUUAAUUUUGUCCAAACACCCCAGAAGUGCAGAGACAUUCAGCCAUCGAAAAUGGCUCAUUGUUCAAUAUGUUAAACAGAAAGGCAGAUCAAAAUAUAUCCAGGAAUGGCUUAGAAAAGAACUGUGUAUCUGUCUUUACUGUGCUGAUCAUUAUUCAGACAACUAUGUUGCUUGGACACACAGAGGAUGGAUAACUGAAGAAUUCAUUGAUUCUAAAAAGACAAAAGUUAUUAACAAAGCUCAAAGAGAUGAGCUCUGUUGAGGACAUGGUUUUACUACUACUUGAAGAAAUGGUGUUUGUAACAAAUCUCCAGGACUCAUUUCCUGGUCAUGAGUGCACAUGGUCUCACAGACGAUUCAUUGUUGAGCACUGGCAUCUUUGGUUUGGUUCGGUCC